AACGAACGCUGGCGGCAUGCCUAACACAUGCAAGUCGAACGAGACCUUCGGGUCUAGUGGCGCACGGGUGCGUAACGCGUGGGAACCUGCCCUUAGGUUCGGAAUAACUUCCCGAAAGGGGUGCUAAUACCGGAUAAUGUCUUCGGACCAAAGAUUUAUCGCCUUUGGAUGGGCCCGCGUUGGAUUAGCUAGUUGGUAGGGUAAAAGCCUACCAAGGCGACGAUCCAUAGCUGGUCUGAGAGGAUGAUCAGCGACACUGGGACUGAGACACGGCCCAGACUCGUACGGGAGGCGGGAGUGGGGAAUAUUGGAAAAUGGGCGACAGCCUGAUGCAGCAAUGCCGCGUGAGUGAUGAAGGCCGUAGGGUUGUAAAGCUCUUUUACCCGGGAUGGUAAUGACAGUACCGGGAGAAUAAGCUCCGGCUAACUACGUG
RNAcentral lists this ribosomal RNA (433 nucleotides) under uncultured bacterium. RNAcentral describes it as "partial 16S ribosomal RNA". It matches the Rfam family "Bacterial small subunit ribosomal RNA", at positions 29 to 507 of the family's 1533-position model. The record is from RNAcentral.